RNAcentral lists this ribosomal RNA (591 nucleotides) under Triticum aestivum (bread wheat). Its description in RNAcentral is "partial small subunit ribosomal RNA". Lineage: Eukaryota; Viridiplantae; Streptophyta; Magnoliopsida; Poales; Poaceae. The record is from RNAcentral.
AUGGUGGCAAGUGAGCGAGGAUCGGGUCGUCGCAUCCUUAGUGGCGCGCUACAUCGGCACCCUGAUGUAGUGGAAAAUGAGCAAGGGUCUUCGCAUUUGACUCGACGAGUGCGAAGGGUAAGGAAGCUAGCCGAGCCUAGGAGGAUCUGCUUAGGUACCUGGAACAUAGGGUCUCUGACAGGGAAGCUUCGAGAGCUAGUUGAUGCAGCGGUGAGGAGAAGUGUUGAUAUCUUUUGCGUCCAAGAAACCAAAUGGAGAGGACAGAAGGUGAAGGAGGUGGAGGAUACCGGCUUCAAGUUGUGGUACACGGGGACAGUUACAAACAGAAAUGGCGUAGGCAUCUUGAUCAACAAGAUUCUCAAGUAUGGAGUGGUAGACGUCAAGAGAUGUGGGGGCAUGAUUAUCCUGGUCAAGCUGUUAGUUGGGGACUUAGUUCUCAAUGUUAUCAGCGCAUAUGCCUCGCAAGUAGGCCACAAUGAGAACACCAAGAGGAAGUUCUGGGAAGGCCUGGAGGACAUGGUCAGGAGUGUACGGAUUGGCGAGAAGCUCUUCAUAGGAGGAGACCCUCAAUGGCCACGUGGGUACAUCUAA